This 497-nucleotide ribosomal RNA is filed under the name uncultured bacterium. Its description in RNAcentral is "partial 16S ribosomal RNA". It matches the Rfam family "Bacterial small subunit ribosomal RNA", at positions 28 to 507 of the family's 1533-position model. The record is from RNAcentral.
GAUGAACGCUGGCGGCGUGCCUAAUACAUGCAAGUCGAGCGAACAGACGAGGAGCUUGCUCCUCUGACGUUAGCAGCGGACGGGUGAGUAACACGUGGAUAACCUACCUAUAAGACUGGGAUAACUUCGGGAAACCGGAGCUAAUACCGGAUAAUAUUUUGAACCGCAUGGUUCAAAAGUGAAAGACGGUCUUGCUGUCACUUAUAGAUGGAUCCGCGCUGCAUUAGCUAGUUGGUAAGGUAACGGCUUACCAAGGCAACGAUGCAUAGCCGACCUGAGAGGGUGAUCGGCCACACUGGAACUGAGACACGGUCCAGACUCCUACGGGAGGCAGCAGUAGGGAAUCUUCCGCAAUGGGCGAAAGCCUGACGGAGCAACGCCGCGUGAGUGAUGAAGGUCUUCGGAUCGUAAAACUCUGUUAUUAGGGAAGAACAUAUGUGUAAGUAACUGUGCACAUCUUGACGGUACCUAAUCAGAAAGCCACGGCUAACUACGUG